GCUAGAAGAAGACACCAUUGAAGAGACACAGCACUAUGAUCAUGCUUACUUGUUUUUUAUGCUUAUUUAUUAAGCACUGGGGCCAAGGAAUCACAGUGACUAUCUUCUAAGGCAAGUCUGACUACUAGCCUCCUGCCAUAUGCUGUCAAAGGAUAUAUGGAACUGGGCAUGAAAAGCCAUCUUCAGCUCUCCCAUCUGCACCAAAUCUCUUCUCCCUCUCACCCUGUUUGAAUUCUGGAGUCGAAGAUGCCCCUGUGGCUGUGGGUUGUUUGGCGAAGGAUUUUCUACCUGAUUCCAUUAACUUCUCCUGGACCUACCAAAACCAAAGUGCUGUAAGUCACACAGAUUUAAAGAUCUUCCCAUCUCAAAUGAGUGGCCCAACAUACACAGCCACCUCCCAAGUGAUCCUCCCUGCCUUGGAUGUCCUUCAAGACAGUUACUUGGUAUGUAAGGCCAGCCAUCUCAACAGCAACAAGCAAGUUCAAGUUUCCCUCCCAGAUACCACCAGCAGUUCCCCUAAUGUGACUGUGUACAUCCCACCCCGUGAUGCAUUCUCCAACUCUGGCCUACGAAAAUCCAAGCUCAUCUGUCAAGUCACUGACUUCAGACCAAGGGAGAUCAAGUUAACAUGGCUUCGAGAGGGGAGGCCAGUUUCAUCAGGCUUCUCUACAGGUCAAGUCCUACCUGAUGGUUCUGGAACCUACUUCCUGCAGAGCAGUCUGACUAUUAAUGAGAGUGACUGGCUCAGCCAGAGCACAUUCACUUGCCGAGUAGAUCACCUCAAUGCCCAAUUCCAGAAGAAUGUUUCCUCAAGCUGUGCCAUCAGCACAGAUUCACCCAUUGAAGCUUUUGCCAUUCCCCCCUCCUUUGCAAGUAUCUUUGUUACUAAAUCAGCCAAAUUAACCUGUGUAGUCACAAACCUGCCCACCUAUGACAGUUUGAGCAUUUCCUGGACUCGUAAGGAUGGACAGCUUCUGAAAACUAAAGUUAAAGUAUCUAGCAGCCACCCCAAUGGUACCUUUACUGCUGAGGGAGAAGCCACAGUCUGUGCAGAGGAAUGGAAUUCAGGGGAAGCAUUUAAAUGCAUCGUGACUCAUUCUGAUCAUCCUGUUCCCUUGAAGAAAGAAAUCUUCAAGCCACAGGAAGUUGACCUGCAUGCCCCAUCUGUCUACCUGUUACCUCCAAAUCCUGAGGAGCUGAGCCUGAGGGAAUCAGCUACUGUAACCUGCAUGAUGAAAGACUUCUCCCCACCAGAUGUGUUUGUCCAAUGGAUGCACAAAGGGCAGCCCAUACCCUCAGAGAAAUAUGUCACCAGCAGCCCCCAUCAGGAUCCCCAGAAAGGUGGUCGCUACUUCUCCUACAGUAUCCUGACAGUGUCAGAGGCACAGUGGAAUUCAGGGGAUCCUUUCACCUGUGUGGUAGCUCAUGAAGCAUUGCCCUUGUCAUCAACGGAGAGGACCGUGGACAAGUCCACUGAAGGGGAAGUGAAUGCUGAAGAAGAAGGAUUUGAGAAUCUGUGGACAACAGCCUCAACUUUCAUUGUCCUCUUUCUGCUGAGUCUUUUUUACAGUACGACAGUCACUCUAUUCAAGGUAAAAUAAAUUCAUCCUUGAAAAACAAGCAUAUGAAAACAAAGAUCCUAGACCAAAAGAAGAGAUAAUUCCUUGAAGCCUUGACCCAAGCUUCCUAAAUGAUGAUAUUCACCCUUUCAACAAUUCUUGGAAGCCUAAGAGGCUCCAAAGCAUAUGGAGGUGGUAAAGAGGGAAGGAACUUUUUAUAUACAUGUGGUUUUCCUAUAUCCUCUUAAUACUUUAUAUAUAACUCAUCUCUUUCAUUUUCCUUCAUGUCUAACUUCCUAAAAUUAGGAUUUAAAAGAAAAAUAAUGCAUAUUCCUAAACCCAACCAAUGUAUUUUACUAGUUAACUUGUAAACCACAAGAUCUUUCUGAAAUAAAUAAAUUUAUGUAUAUAUAUA
Molecule: non-coding RNA, 1974 nt
Organism: Monodelphis domestica (gray short-tailed opossum)
Lineage: Eukaryota; Metazoa; Chordata; Mammalia; Didelphimorphia; Didelphidae
Source: the annotation of a RefSeq genome assembly